GGGGAAGAGCUCAAAUUUUAAAUCUACCAGGUUUACUUGGUCGAGUUGUAAUUUGAAGAAACGUUUUCCGCGUCUCGGUUGGCCCAAAUCCUUUGGGAUAAGGUAUCAUGGAGGGUGAGAAUCCCGUUCGGCCGGCCUUAUGACGCUUUACGAUACG
RNAcentral lists this ribosomal RNA (157 nucleotides) under Glomerales sp. Its description in RNAcentral is "partial large subunit ribosomal RNA". It matches the Rfam family "Eukaryotic large subunit ribosomal RNA", at positions 99 to 253 of the family's 3401-position model. Lineage: Eukaryota; Fungi; Glomeromycota; Glomeromycetes; Glomerales; Glomeraceae. The record is from RNAcentral.